Saccostrea cuccullata (small rock oyster) is the source of this 512-nucleotide long non-coding RNA. RefSeq lists it as uncharacterized. The record is from RefSeq and is a predicted model, not a curated record. Lineage: Eukaryota; Metazoa; Mollusca; Bivalvia; Ostreida; Ostreidae. The transcript is spliced from 4 exons.
UCUUCUCUAUCUUCUUAGCACUUUCCUAAUCUAACACAACUAACCAUCCCCUACCCCUUAACAUUGAUUUUGUUGUAAUUUCCUCGAAUUUGUGUGCUUUGUUUCAUUGUUUUGAAUUUUUACUAAUCUCGUCUCAGUUGUAUAUUUUCAGGCACCCGGACGUGGUACAACGCGGGAGCACUCAGCCAGCCUCCAGCCAGCCAGCCACAGAUGAAGAGGAAGGAGCCCAUUGCCCAGUUUUGUCUAGCGGCUUACAUUUGCCAAGGCGGAGCGUCGAUCCCACCGAGAGGUUCAGCAGCAUUCUGGGGAACAAGGAUCGACUGCGACCGCACAUGGAAGAGAGGAUAUGCGAUGUGAUGCAGCCCUCUGUUCCCAGUCCUUUGAAGAGGAGUCUGCCAACCCAGGGACGGUCAGGGUUUGGCUGUUGUGGAUUCCCAGAUGAUUAGCGGACUGCAGCCUGCCAGAGGAAGUAUGCAGAGUUCAGGGACGUACUGCGGCCAACUCCGGCGUUG